RNAcentral lists this ribosomal RNA (447 nucleotides) under uncultured bacterium. RNAcentral describes it as "bacterial SSU rRNA". It matches the Rfam family "Bacterial small subunit ribosomal RNA", at positions 355 to 825 of the family's 1533-position model. The record is from RNAcentral.
UGGGGAAUAUUGGACAAUGGGCGAAAGCCUGAUCCAGCAAUGCCGCGUGAGUGAUGAAGGCCUUAGGGUUGUAAAGCUCUUUUACCAGGGAUGAUAAUGACAGUACCUGGAGAAUAAGCUCCGGCUAACUCCGUGCCAGCAGCCGCGGUAAUACGGAGGGAGCUAGCGUUGUUCGGAAUUACUGGGCGUAAAGCGUACGUAGGCGGUGACUCAAGUCAGAGGUGAAAGCCUGGAGCUCAACUCCAGAACUGCCUUUGAAACUAGGUCGCUAGAAUCACGGAGAGGUGAGUGGAAUUCCGAGUGUAGAGGUGAAAUUCGUAGAUAUUCGGAAGAACACCAGUGGCGAAGGCGACUGACUGGACAAGUAUUGACGCUGAGGUACGAAAGCGUGGGGAGCAAACAGGAUUAGAUACCCCAGUAGUCCCUGAGCGGGCUGGCAAGGCGCAU